RNAcentral lists this ribosomal RNA (297 nucleotides) under uncultured bacterium. Its description in RNAcentral is "partial 16S ribosomal RNA". It matches the Rfam family "Bacterial small subunit ribosomal RNA", at positions 337 to 631 of the family's 1533-position model. The record is from RNAcentral.
UCCUACGGGGGGCAGCAGUGAGGAAUAUUGGUCAAUGGGCGAGAGCCUGAACCAGCCAAGUCGCGUGAAGGAUGACGGCCCUACGGGUUGUAAACUUGUUUUGUCAGGGAGCAAUUGGGUCCACGCGUGGGCUUAGCGAGAGUACCUGAAGAAAAAGCAUCGGCUAACUCCGUGCCAGCAGCCGCGGUAAUACGGAGGAUGAGAGCGUUAUCCGGAGUUAUUGGGUUUAAAGGGUGCGUAGGCGGAAUAUCAAGACAGCGGUAAAAAUUCGGGGCUCAACCCCGUCGGGCCGUUGAC